AUGGUACUUAGAUUAGAUAUAUCGGAUUGACAGAUUAGAUCAAAUUGACUAAAUAGAUUGACGAAACGAUUUGAUUUGAUUAAAAAUCAAAUCAUACGGUGUGAAACAACAUUUGUCUCUAAAAUUUAAACCCCCGUGACCUCCUAAUCUUAUAUCAUAUGAAAUAAUUAUUUGUCUCUAAAAACUUAAACUGUCCAGAAACAUUACCGUUAUAUAUUUAUAUACAGCAUGUGGUUCACCAAACACUGC
RNAcentral lists this long non-coding RNA (249 nucleotides) under Ananas comosus (pineapple). Its description in RNAcentral is "long non-coding RNA (ACOM_LNC021552)". Lineage: Eukaryota; Viridiplantae; Streptophyta; Magnoliopsida; Poales; Bromeliaceae. The record is from RNAcentral.